RNAcentral lists this long non-coding RNA (864 nucleotides) under Homo sapiens (human). Its description in RNAcentral is "HSALNT0076456". The record is from RNAcentral. Lineage: Eukaryota; Metazoa; Chordata; Mammalia; Primates; Hominidae.
AGAGUAGGAGCAUUAUAUAAUCUUGCAAUUAAAUCUGUCCUUUAGUGGGUUUGUAUCCCUGGGGUGUGACCUUCACAACUGUUUCUCUGGUGGUAUGGACUAAUUUUCCUUAGAUUCCCACUUCUUUCCCAAACUGCAGUGUUCCCAAUUUAUGUCCUUGAAGCCCUGGUCCUUGUUGACUAUGUAUUUCUGCUCUUUGGUGAAAUGGAAGGGUUAGCGUAGGCUGGAGCAAGAGAAAUUUCCUUCUCCAAGCUGGGAUAAGGUUCCGGCAUAGCCUUUUCUACUGAAGAGUGUGCCUUUGUUAUGGAGAAUGCUCUGAGUGUAUUUCAAAAUGAUUCAUUUUUCCCUCCACUUUACAGAGCCAUAAGGGGACUUUUCUCCCGUCUUCACCAUCAGAAUCUGGUAGAGCUCCUGGAGCAACCUGCAUGAUGUCACUGCUAUAGCACUAUGAUUUUCAUAUUACAUACUCUUGAGACACUUUCCAGAGUAUAUAUGGCUAUGUUAUAGCAUGGUAAGUAUUACAAUGUGUAUGUCUGUGUGCCUAUGUAAUAAUUUUUAUGAUGCUCUACUGGUCUUCAAUGGAGUCUGGAUGAUUUCAGGUUUGUGAAAGGAGCAUUAAAAUUUUUCUCUAGAUACUAUGCUAAUAUAUCUAAGAUACUUAUUUCAUAUAUUUUUUCAACUUUAUCUUAUUCUUUUCCUGAAAUAAGAAUCAGGAGGUACAUGUGCAGAUUUGUUACAAAGAUAUAUUGCUUGAAGUUGAGGUUUGGAAUAAACAUGAAUCAGCCAGAUAGUGAGCAUAGUGCCCAAUAGGUAGUUUUUCAAUCCUUUCCUCCUUCUUUGCCUCCUCUCUCUUGUAUUCCCCAA